This 385-nucleotide ribosomal RNA is filed under the name Pristimantis orcesi (Bolivar robber frog). Its description in RNAcentral is "partial small subunit ribosomal RNA". It matches the Rfam family "Microsporidia small subunit ribosomal RNA", at positions 783 to 1287 of the family's 1311-position model. The record is from RNAcentral. Lineage: Eukaryota; Metazoa; Chordata; Amphibia; Anura; Strabomantidae.
GGACUUGACGGUACUCCACAUCCCUCUAGAGGAGCCUGUCCUAUAACCGAUACCCCCCGUUUAACCUCACCAUUUUUAGUCUCUCAGCCUGUAUACUUCCGUCGCCAGCUUACCGCGUGAGCGAGUAAGCUUAAUGUACCCAUCAAUACGUCAGGUCAAAGUGCAGCAAAUAAAAUGGCAAGAGAUGGGCUACACUUUCUAUCUUAGAAAACACGAAAGACUAUGUGAAAUCACAGUCAGAAGGUGGAUUUAGUAGUAAGAAAAAAUAGAAUAUUCUUUUUAACCCGGCACUGGAGUGUGUACACACCGCCCGUCACCCUCUUCAACAAAGUAGUAUUUAACAACUAAUUACAUAGAAGAGGUAAGUCGUAACAUGGUAAGUAUA